AGCACUUGUGUGUGUCUUUGUUUAAUAUCUAACAAAAGCUUACCAACAGGUGCAAAAAUAAACAUUCUUUUGCAACCCAGAACUUAUUGUUCAGUAUGAGUUUUGUUACAUGUAAGAAGGAAUAUG
This is a small nucleolar RNA of Dipodomys ordii (Ord's kangaroo rat), 126 nucleotides long. The record is from Ensembl. Lineage: Eukaryota; Metazoa; Chordata; Mammalia; Rodentia; Heteromyidae.